This 254-nucleotide ribosomal RNA is filed under the name uncultured bacterium. RNAcentral's name for it is "partial 16S ribosomal RNA". It matches the Rfam family "Bacterial small subunit ribosomal RNA", at positions 524 to 776 of the family's 1533-position model. The record is from RNAcentral.
UACGGGGGGGGCAAGCGUUGUUCGGAAUUACUGGGCGUAAAGGGCUCGUAGGUGGCCAACUAAGCCAGACGUGAAAUCCCUCGGCUUAACCGGGGAACUGCGUCUGAUACUGGAUGGCUUGAGUUUGGGAGAGGGACGCGGAAUUCCAGGUGUAGCGGUGAAAUGCGUAGAUAUCUGGAGGAACACCGGUGGCGAAGGCGGCGUCCUGGACCAAUACUGACACUGAGUGAGCGAAAGCCAGGGGAGCAAACGGG